RNAcentral lists this ribosomal RNA (253 nucleotides) under uncultured bacterium. Its description in RNAcentral is "partial 16S ribosomal RNA". It matches the Rfam family "Bacterial small subunit ribosomal RNA", at positions 524 to 776 of the family's 1533-position model. The record is from RNAcentral.
UACGUAGGGACCGAGCGUUGUCCGGAUUCAUUGGGCGUAAAGAGCUCGUAGGCGGCCACUCAAGUCGAAUGUGAAACCUCGAGGCUUAACCUCGAGCCUGCAUUCGAUACUGGGUGGCUAGAGUCUGGUAGGGGGAUCUGGAAUUCCUGGUGUAGCGGUGGAAUGCGCAGAUAUCAGGAGGAACACCGGUGGCGAAGGCGGGAUCCUGGGCCAGUACUGACGCUGAGGCGCGAAAGCGUGGGGAGCAAACAGG